UACGUAGGGAGCAAGCGUUGUCCGGAAUCAUUGGGCGUAAAGCGCGCGUAGGUGGCCUCAUAAGUCCGCUGUGAAAGUCAAAAGGCUCAACCUUUGAAAGCCGGUGGAUACUGUGGGGCUAGAGUACGGAAGAGGCGAGUGGAAUUCCUGGUGUAGCGGUGGAAUGCGCAGAUAUCAGGAGGAACACCAAUAGCGAAGGCAGCUCGCUGGGACGUACUGACACUGAGGCGCGAAAGCGUGGGGAGCGAACAGG
RNAcentral lists this ribosomal RNA (253 nucleotides) under uncultured bacterium. RNAcentral describes it as "partial 16S ribosomal RNA". It matches the Rfam family "Bacterial small subunit ribosomal RNA", at positions 524 to 776 of the family's 1533-position model. The record is from RNAcentral.